CUGCUGCCUUCCGUAGGAGUUUGGGCCGUGUCUCAGUCCCAAUGUGGCCGUCCACCCUCUCAGGCCGGCUACUGAUCGCUGCCUUGGUGGGCCGUUACCCCGCCAACUAGCUAAUCAGACGCGGAUCCAUCGUAUACCACCGGAGUUUUUCACACUGCCCCAUGCGGAGCCGUGCGCUUAUGCGGUAUUAGCACCUAUUUCUAAGUGUUAUCCCCGGUAUACGGCAGGUUAUCCACGCGUUACUCACCCGUCCGCCAA
Molecule: ribosomal RNA, 258 nt
Filed under: uncultured bacterium
Lineage: Bacteria
Description: partial 16S ribosomal RNA
Source: RNAcentral